Ochotona princeps (American pika) is the source of this 108-nucleotide small nuclear RNA. Lineage: Eukaryota; Metazoa; Chordata; Mammalia; Lagomorpha; Ochotonidae. The record is from Ensembl.
GUGCUUGCUUCAGCAGCACUUAUGCUAAAAUUGGAAUAAUACAAGAAGAUUAGCACAGCCUCUGCACAAGAAUGACAGACAUUGGUAGCAGUGAGAAUGUAAACUGGU